UCUUACCUUCCUCGAUGAUGCGAGUCACAUCGGUGAUGAUGACCGUUUCAGGUUCUUUCUGCUCAUGUGGCUCAUCGGAUGGCUUCUUUGGCUUGCCCUUCUUUUUCUUGCCAGGCUCCUUGUCAUCGGCUUCUGGCUUCUCAGGUGUCUCCUUCCAGCCAAAGAUAGUUGGAGUGGGCUCCUUUCCAGGUGUGCCCUCUCUGCUUGGAAGCUUGGUGGGCUCUUGUGUUUCAGCACCAGGUUCUCCAGGGAAUGCUGGCUCCUUCUUACCUUCCUCGAUGAUGCGAGUCACUUCAGUGAUGAUGACUGUUUCGGGUUCUUUCUGCUCACGUGGCUCAUCGGAUGGCUUCUUUGGCUUG
This 359-nucleotide long non-coding RNA is filed under the name Dermacentor andersoni. RNAcentral's name for it is "uncharacterized LOC126533682". Lineage: Eukaryota; Metazoa; Arthropoda; Arachnida; Ixodida; Ixodidae. The record is from RNAcentral.